Molecule: long non-coding RNA, 601 nt
Filed under: Olea europaea subsp. europaea
Lineage: Eukaryota; Viridiplantae; Streptophyta; Magnoliopsida; Lamiales; Oleaceae
Source: RNAcentral
AUAUGCUUUUAGAUGUAUAAUUUGAGUUCUACUAUAGGAUGUAUUAUAUUGGCUACUGCUUAUAUACAUGCACUGGUCCUCUUGCGGUUUCAACAAUAUUUAAGAUGUUGAAAACAAGCAAUUAACAGAUCUAAUGAAGAGUACAUGGUUGUGGGAGAUUAUGUACCUGCAGAUUAGGAUGAGGACAUUAUGUUUGUGCGAGAUGGUACGUCCAUGUUGAACAAAGGGAUACUUGUGAAAUAUUAUAAUAAACUUGCAAAGAUGAACGAACAAAAAUGUGAACUAUAUUCACUUAAAAAAUUUGAAAGGAAAGAAUUGCCAUUGUUCGUUGAUUUAGACUAGGAACCGACUAUUCAACCUAAAGAGAUGUCAAUUAUUGAAAAAUAGCAUCGAGAGGAAGAAAGAUUAAUUACAAAGGGAUCAAACGAAUAAGUAGCAAUCAAUAAAGAUGAAAUUAAUACACAUUCUUUCGACUUCAUCGUAGCCCAAAAUUGAAUUUAUGAUUAAGUCAGAGGAAAAAAUAAGUCUACAUAAUUGAUUUCGAAUCGAGUGAAAUAGGCAAGUCAUAUCACAUUAAAGGAAGCAAUGUUAAAUUUAGGAG